Zalophus californianus (California sea lion) is the source of this 107-nucleotide small nuclear RNA. NCBI's taxonomy places the organism in Eukaryota, Metazoa, Chordata, Mammalia, Carnivora, Otariidae. The record is from Ensembl.
GUGCUCGCUUCAGCAGCACAUAAACUAAAAUUGGAACGAUACAGAGAAGAUUAACAUGGCCCCUGUGCGAGGAUGACAAGCAAAUUCGUGAAGCGUUCCAUGUUUUU